This 253-nucleotide ribosomal RNA is filed under the name uncultured bacterium. RNAcentral's name for it is "partial 16S ribosomal RNA". It matches the Rfam family "Bacterial small subunit ribosomal RNA", at positions 524 to 776 of the family's 1533-position model. The record is from RNAcentral.
UACGUAGGGUGCAAGCGUUGUCCGGAAUUAUUGGGCGUAAAGCGCGUGUAGGCGGCAUUGCAAGUCGGGUGUGAAAGCCCUCAGCUCAACUGAGGAAGUGCGCCCGAAACUGCAGUGCUUGAAUACCGGAGAGGAUGGCGGAAUUCCCCAAGUAGAGGUGAAAUUCGUAGAUAUGGGGAGGAACACCGGUGGCGAAGGCGGGUCUCUGGGCAGUAACUGACGCUGAGGAGCGAAAGCGUGGGGAGCGAACAGG